AACUACAAACGGUGGAUCUCUUGGCUCUCGCAUCGAUGAAGAACGCAGC
This 49-nucleotide ribosomal RNA is filed under the name uncultured Basidiomycota. RNAcentral describes it as "partial 5.8S ribosomal RNA". It matches the Rfam family "5.8S ribosomal RNA", at positions 1 to 49 of the family's 154-position model. From Rfam's summary of the family: 5.8S ribosomal RNA (5.8S rRNA) is a component of the large subunit of the eukaryotic ribosome. It is transcribed by RNA polymerase I as part of the 45S precursor that also contains 18S and 28S rRNA. Lineage: Eukaryota; Fungi; Basidiomycota. The record is from RNAcentral.